GAUGAACGCUGGCGGCGUGCCUAAUACAUGCAAGUCGAACGCUGAAGGAGGAGCUUGCUCUUCUGGAUGAGUUGCGAACGGGUGAGUAACGCGUAGGUAACCUGCCUGGUAGCGGGGGAUAACUAUUGGAAACGAUAGCUAAUACCGCAUGACAACAGUUAUUGUAUGAUAACUGUUUAAAAGGGGCAACUGCUCCACUACCAGAUGGACCUGCGUUGUAUUAGCUAGUUGGUGAGGUAACGGCUCACCAAGGCGACGAUACAUAGCCGACCUGAGAGGGUGAUCGGCCACACUGGGACUGAGACCAGGCCCAGACUCCUACGGGAGGCAGCAGUAGGGAAUCUUCGGCAAUGGACGGAAGUCUGACCGAGCAACGCCGCGUGAGUGAAGAAGGUUUUCGGAUCGUAAAGCUCUGUUGUAAGAGAAGAACGAGUGUGAGAGUGGAAAGUUCACACUGUGACGGUAUCUUACCAGAAAGGGACGGCUAACUACGUG
Molecule: ribosomal RNA, 495 nt
Filed under: uncultured bacterium
Lineage: Bacteria
Description: partial 16S ribosomal RNA
Rfam family: Bacterial small subunit ribosomal RNA
Source: RNAcentral